This 470-nucleotide ribosomal RNA is filed under the name uncultured prokaryote. RNAcentral describes it as "partial 16S ribosomal RNA". The record is from RNAcentral.
CCCUAUGGGGCGCAGCAGCAUUGGAAUAAAAUGAAGUUUGUUUUACGAGUGUUUCCUAUAAAAAUAUUGAAGUAGGUAAAUAAAGGUAUAAAGACAAAACAGAAAGGAGGAAGAAAGCUGUUUUCAGUGAGAGUCGUUACUUUUUUAGAAUGUUGUUUAUCUUAAAGAAUACUAUUUUAAAAACUUAUUUUGGAGGAGAGAAUUAUGUUCAGAGUUAAAAUGCUGGUUUGUUUAGUAUCAGUCACAAUUUUAAGCGGUACUGUUUUCGCAGACAAAACUUUCUACGGUGGCAGUAGCGCUAAGAAUUGGACCGAUCCGGCCAAUUGGUGGGCCCCGAAUGCUGUUCCUGUCGCUGGUGAACAGGCUGCUAUCGGAGUUGGCGGAGCGGAUAGAAUAGCGAAUAUAACAAGCGGAACGAUCGCACAUUGCGGAGACCUUCAGUUGGGGUUGGGAGGAAUUGGCGGGAGAGC